UCUACAAAUUAAUUACAUAUCUUU
RNAcentral lists this small nuclear RNA (24 nucleotides) under Arabidopsis thaliana (thale cress). RNAcentral's name for it is "snRNA_09066". The record is from RNAcentral. Lineage: Eukaryota; Viridiplantae; Streptophyta; Magnoliopsida; Brassicales; Brassicaceae.